Molecule: unclassified non-coding RNA, 37 nt
Filed under: Trypanosoma cruzi
Lineage: Eukaryota; Euglenozoa; Kinetoplastea; Trypanosomatida; Trypanosomatidae
Description: trans-spliced leader sequence SL-1
Source: RNAcentral
AACUAACGCUAUUAUUGAUACAGUCUGUACUAUAUUG